This 484-nucleotide ribosomal RNA is filed under the name uncultured bacterium. Its description in RNAcentral is "partial 16S ribosomal RNA". It matches the Rfam family "Bacterial small subunit ribosomal RNA", at positions 29 to 507 of the family's 1533-position model. The record is from RNAcentral.
AUUGAACGCUGGCGGCAUGCUUUACACAUGCAAGUCGAACGGCAGCGCGGGCUUCGGCCUGGCGGCGAGUGGCGAACAGGUGAGUAAUACAUCGGAACGUGCCCAGUAGUGGGGGAUAGCUCGGCGAAAGCCGGAUUAAUACCGCAUACGACCUGAGGGUGAAAGCGGGGGAUCUUCGGACCUCGCGCUAUUGGAGCGGCCGAUGGCAGAUUAGCUAGUUGGUGGGGUAAAGGCCUACCAAGGCGACGAUCUGUAGCUGGUCUGAGAAGACGACCAGCCACACUGGGACUGAGACACGGCCCAGACUCCUACGGGAGGCAGCAGUGGGGAAUUUUGGACAAUGGGCGAAAGCCUGAUCCAGCAAUGCCGCGUGUGUGAUGAAGGCCUUCGGGUUGUAAAGCACUUUUGGCGGGAACGAAAAGGACUGUGCCAAUACCACGGUUCGAUGACGGUACCCGCAGAAUAAGCACCGGCUAACUACGUG